AUUGAACGCUGGCGGCAGGCCUAACACAUGCAAGUCGAGCGGUAGCACAGGAGAGCUUGCUCUCUGGGUGACGAGCGGCGGACGGGUGAGUAAUGUCUGGGAAACUGCCUGAUGGAGGGGGAUAACUACUGGAAACGGUAGCUAAUACCGCAUAACGUCGCAAGACCAAAGAGGGGGACCUUCGGGCCUCUUGCCAUCAGAUGUGCCCAGAUGGGAUUAGCUAGUAGGUGGGGUAACGGCUCACCUAGGCGACGAUCCCUAGCUGGUCUGAGAGGAUGACCAGCCACACUGGAACUGAGACACGGUCCCGACUCCUACGGGAGGCAGCAGUGGGGAAUAUUGCACAAUGGGCGCAAGCCUGAUGCAGCCAUGCCGCGUGUAUGAAGAAGGCCUUCGGGUUGUAAAGUACUUUCAGCGGGGAGGAAGGUGUUGAGGUUAAUAACCUCAGCAAUUGACGUUACCCGUAGAAGAAGCACCGGCUAACUCCGUGCCAGCCGCCGCCGUAA
RNAcentral lists this ribosomal RNA (506 nucleotides) under uncultured bacterium. Its description in RNAcentral is "partial 16S ribosomal RNA". It matches the Rfam family "Bacterial small subunit ribosomal RNA", at positions 30 to 523 of the family's 1533-position model. The record is from RNAcentral.